RNAcentral lists this ribosomal RNA (231 nucleotides) under uncultured bacterium. RNAcentral's name for it is "partial 16S ribosomal RNA". It matches the Rfam family "Bacterial small subunit ribosomal RNA", at positions 546 to 776 of the family's 1533-position model. The record is from RNAcentral.
CGGAAUUAUUGGGCGUAAAGCGCACGUAGGCGGCUUUGUGUGUCGGAUGCGAAAUCCCUCGGCUUAACCAAGGAAGUGCAUUCGAAACUGCAAAGCUUGAGUACUUAAGAGGAUCGCGGAAUUCCCGGUGUAGAGGUGAAAUUCGUAGAUAUCGGGAGGAACACCAGUGGCGAAGGCGGCGAUCUGGGAAGAUACUGACGCUGAGGUGCGAAAGCGUGGGGAGCAAACAGG